AUCUAUAAAUUGUAAUAUUUUCUCAAUACUUUGUAACUCUAGCUCAUUGUCCUCAUCUCUCUUGCUUCCCAGAAUACUUUUCCCUCCUUAUUGUGACCCCCAAAGAAUUACUCACUAAGCGAUUCCAUGAAUUUUUACUACAAAGAAAAGGAAAAGACUACUAGCAUCUAAUCGGACUUCCACAGGGAAAGAAGCCCCUCUGGUUCAACAUGCAUUGUUCCUUCUACAUACACCCUCUCUUCUGCACCUGUAUUUUUACAGAUACAUAGAAAGACUUUUUGAGAAGAGGGACAGUCCUUCAGCCAAGGACAAGAGUCCUUCAGGCUUCAGAGUUUCCUGGAGAAAUGAGCAAUCCUCUCAUUGACAUCAUUGUCUGCUCCCUAGUCAGUCAACAACUCCCUACUGUGUGCCAGGAACUGUCCUAAGCACUGGGGAUAUGAAGAAUAACAAAAAGUGCUCCUGCUCUCAAGAACCUUAUACUUUAAUGUUUCCAAUCACUAGGUGAAACUCCUAGGAAGCCCCUGGUGAGUCCUGCCUUGCUGUCUCUCCAUUACAUGCUGUACCUGGAGACUUCCCCCGCCCCCAACCUUACCCCAUGUGGUCAGGUGACUUCUGGGCAUCUGCUCCUUCCAGCAGCACCUUCCCAUACCUCCUUCUCCCCCACCCACCAGAAAAGUGAAAAUGCCUGAAAAGCACCUGGUGCAAGCUCCAAACCAAGCUGAAACACACAGAAUCCCUUCUGUCCUUUUAAAAAGUGUCCCCAGGCUGGCAAGUGGAAUCUGCUCGACCUCUGAGACCUCCUUUCAUCAUAGUCCUGAGUCUUUUACUUCCAGCUUCUGUCUUCAUCAGACCCUGGAGAUGUCAACGUGCAGAGGCAACCAAAUGCCCCCAGGCUCCUGCAAACCAGGAGAAGGAGCUUUGAAGAGGCUUAAUUCAAUUGGCCUAUACCUGGGCACACAUGAGCAUGAAGGAGACAUCUGAGGAAAACACUUUUACUGCUUAUGAAAGGGCUGGAACUUGGACCCACUGACAACCUCUCUUCAAAUCUGGAAUACGUCAGAAUGAGCUUCCCCAAAGAAUUCGUUCACAUCAACAGAAACGUGUCUAGACCCACCCGUUAUAUCUGAAAUGUCAACUCCACUAGAAUCCAUUUUAGUCUAUUAAAAAUGGAGUUAAUUUAAGUAUUUGUAAAAACAAGGUCAUGGAACCCUGGUUACAAGCCCCUGUGCUGGAGGAU
Dromiciops gliroides (monito del monte) is the source of this 1237-nucleotide long non-coding RNA. RefSeq lists it as uncharacterized. The record is from RefSeq and is a predicted model, not a curated record. NCBI's taxonomy places the organism in Eukaryota, Metazoa, Chordata, Mammalia, Microbiotheria, Microbiotheriidae. The transcript is spliced from 3 exons.